UGGUUGAAUGUGGAGUUGGUUCGUCUGGC
RNAcentral lists this non-coding RNA (29 nucleotides) under Homo sapiens (human). Lineage: Eukaryota; Metazoa; Chordata; Mammalia; Primates; Hominidae. The record is from RNAcentral.